GACGAACGCUGGCGGCGUGCUUAACACAUGCAAGUCGUACGGUAAGGCCCUUUCGUGGUUACACGAGUGGCGAACGGGUGCGUAAGACUUACGUAACCUGCCCACAACUUUGGGAUAACGCUAGGAAACUGAUGCUAAUACUGGUUCUGCGUUCCUGCUUCAUGCUGGGGGUUGGAAAUCUCGGGCGGUUGUGGAUUGACUCGCGGCCUAUCAGCCUGUUUGUUGGCUAGUGGCAUACCAAGGCGGCGACGGGUAGCCGGCCUCGGAGGGUGGACGGGCACAUUGGGACUGAGAGACGGCCCAGUAUGCUACGGGAGGCAGCGGUGGGGAGUAUUGCACAAUGGGGGCAAGCCAGAUGAAGCAGUGCCGCGAGCGGGAUGACGGGCUUGGGGUUAUGAACCGUUGUGAGCAGGGACGAAGCUUUUAGUGACGGUACCUGCAGAAGAAGCACCGGCUAACUACGUG
This 465-nucleotide ribosomal RNA is filed under the name uncultured bacterium. RNAcentral's name for it is "partial 16S ribosomal RNA". It matches the Rfam family "Bacterial small subunit ribosomal RNA", at positions 28 to 507 of the family's 1533-position model. The record is from RNAcentral.